GCCUCUAUAGCUCAGUGGAUGAGAGCGUCGCGCUACGAACGCGAAGGCCCCAGGUUCGAGUCCUGGUGGGGGCG
This 74-nucleotide transfer RNA is filed under the name Actinomadura graeca. RNAcentral describes it as "Actinomadura sp. 32-07 tRNA-Arg". It matches the Rfam family "tRNA". Rfam says of the family: Transfer RNA (tRNA) molecules are approximately 80 nucleotides in length. The record is from RNAcentral. Lineage: Bacteria; Bacillati; Actinomycetota; Actinomycetes; Streptosporangiales; Thermomonosporaceae.